CUCGCGUGCCCUAACCGCUCCUAGCCGGUCUCCUUUCUCCUCCCACGCAUACAAAAAACUGAGCCAUCGCCGAUCCCCUCUCUUCCUUGCUUCUCUUUUCCUCUUCUCCGAUCGCGCCGCACCUCUUCCCAAUUCUCCUCUCUUCCCCGACGCCACCUCCUCUCCCUCUGCCCUAAUCUGAGCUGCGCACAUGCCUUAGCGUUUGCCGACGCCACCCCGAUCUCCGACACCAGUGAUCGACGGUUGCCGCUGUCCGUGAGCCCUAGCCCCGGCCGACCCACGACUCCCUUCUUCCCUCUGUGUAGCCACCGGUCACCACAACCGACGUCGAUCCCUCCACCUUAGCGUCGCCACCCUUCUCCUCUUCGGAUCUGUGCGUCGACGCUGAUCACCAACCAUAGGAACACCAGCGUCGAUCGCCACCUUGUCACCCGGGUUCCACCUCCUCUCUGCCUUGCUUUCGUUCCCCGUUGUUGUGUUGUUGGCGCACUGUGCCCUAGAUCACCGGAAGCCGAGAGCUGGAGAAGGUGACAGCGAGCAGCAGUAAUUCGGCUGUGUGAUUGAAGGUCUCCAGCAACAGCUACUCCUUCUAGCAGCACCAUCCCUAGUUGUGGGUCAACAGUGGUUGCGAAUUUAGGACUUUGAUUCGAGACGGGCAUCUCGACGAAGGAUUUCUGGAUUCGAUUUUCUAUUGAAGCGGG
Molecule: long non-coding RNA, 701 nt
Organism: Zingiber officinale
Lineage: Eukaryota; Viridiplantae; Streptophyta; Magnoliopsida; Zingiberales; Zingiberaceae
Exons: 3
Source: RefSeq, a predicted model, not a curated record